RNAcentral lists this long non-coding RNA (299 nucleotides) under Phoenix dactylifera (date palm). RNAcentral describes it as "long non-coding RNA (PDAC_LNC002097)". The record is from RNAcentral. Lineage: Eukaryota; Viridiplantae; Streptophyta; Magnoliopsida; Arecales; Arecaceae.
CGACGUGAUCCAUGCCUUCAAACCAAACCCCAAGUCCCACAUCCAGGAGUACUGGAGGGUCUUCGACUUCCUGUCGCACCACCCUGAGAGCUUGCACACCUUCUUCUUCCUCUUCGAUGAUGUCGGUGUUCCGUCGGACUACCGGCACAUGGAAGGCUUUGGUGUCAACACCUACACUUUCAUCAACAGGGAGGGAAAGGUCCAUUACGUGAAGUUCCACUGGAAGCCAACUUGUGGAGUGAGCUGUUUGCUGGAAGAAGAGGCAAUAGUUGUUGGUGGCAAGAACCACAGCCACGCCA